AUGCUGGAUCGCCUCACGCUUCAGGAUGAUGAACUAGAUGAUCUUGUAUGGGAAGAGGAGCCUGAUACGGCGGAAGUCCGGCCAAAGUGGCUGGCACUGUGCCGCCUACUGACAUCAAAAUCCUUUAGCCAGAGUGCUUUUAUUGGGGAUAUGAAGGCUGCUUGGAACCCGGCCCAACCGAUGGUGUGGAGGAGAAUCAAUCCGAACUUAUUUUCUAUCCAGUUCAAUUGUUUUGGUGAUUGG
This 243-nucleotide ribosomal RNA is filed under the name Triticum aestivum (bread wheat). RNAcentral describes it as "partial small subunit ribosomal RNA". The record is from RNAcentral. Lineage: Eukaryota; Viridiplantae; Streptophyta; Magnoliopsida; Poales; Poaceae.